UACGGGGGGGGCAAGCGUUGUUCGGAAUUACUGGGCGUAAAGGGCUCGUAGGCGGCCCACUAAGUCAGACGUGAAAGCCCUCGGCUUAACCGGGGAACUGCGUCUGAUACUGGCAGGCUUGAGAUUGGGAGAGGGAUGCGGAAUUCCAGGUGUAGCGGUGAAAUGCGUAGAUAUCUGGAGGAACACCGGUGGCGAAGGCGGCAUCCUGGACCAACACUGACGCUGAGGAGCGAAAGCCAGGGGAGCAAACAGG
This 253-nucleotide ribosomal RNA is filed under the name uncultured bacterium. RNAcentral's name for it is "partial 16S ribosomal RNA". It matches the Rfam family "Bacterial small subunit ribosomal RNA", at positions 524 to 776 of the family's 1533-position model. The record is from RNAcentral.